RNAcentral lists this ribosomal RNA (322 nucleotides) under uncultured Glissomonadida. Its description in RNAcentral is "SSU rRNA". The stretch from base 62 to 322 matches the Rfam family "Eukaryotic small subunit ribosomal RNA", at positions 694 to 955 of the family's 1831-position model. Lineage: Eukaryota; Cercozoa; Glissomonadida. The record is from RNAcentral.
GAUUUCUGGCUUGAAACAUUUAGCCGGCCACGGUUUCGUGUGUUAGUGCUUUGUGUUCUGGCCAUCCUUCCAAUCGCUAUUCACCUUUCUUCAUUGAUUGGUGAGUGGUAUUGGAUCUUUUACUUUGAAAAAAUUAGAGUGUUUCAAGCAGGCUUUAUGCUAUGAAUACAUUAGCAUGGAAUAAUAAUUUAGGACUUCGGUUCUAUUUUGUUGGUUUCUAGGACUGAAGUAAUGAUUGAUAGGGAUAGUUGGGGGUGCUAGUAUUCAGCGGCCAGAGGUGAAAUUCUCGGAUUCGCUGAAGACUAACUUAUGCGAAAGCAUU